This 234-nucleotide long non-coding RNA is filed under the name Mytilus galloprovincialis (Mediterranean mussel). The record is from RNAcentral. Lineage: Eukaryota; Metazoa; Mollusca; Bivalvia; Mytilida; Mytilidae.
AGUAAAACAGCAUUCUUUUCUAAAUCAAGUUUAUUUUAAAAAAAAAAUAAUAUCGCAAAUAAUACACGAUUAUAAUAUAAUCUAACAGAGAAAAAAAGUGUCAAAUACACUUACGUCCGAUACGUUAUUUACGUAAACCACGAGUACACACAUUUCCGCGGGAUUUUUUUAAGCACGAGUUUCACGAUUAACAAUUCAAUGACAUUAUUGAAGAUCGUUAGUCUAAGUUUAACG